UUUCCCUCAGGAUAGCUGGCACUCGCUUGAGCGAGUCUCAUCUGGUAAAGCGAAUGAUUAGAGGCCUUGGGGCCGAAACGACCUCAACCUAUUCUCAAACUUUAAAUGGGUGAGAUCUCUGGCUUGCUUGAACGUUGAAGCCACGAGAUAUAUAUGGAUCAGAGUGCCAAGUGGGCCAAUUUUGGUAAGCAGAACUGGCGCUGUGGGA
This 208-nucleotide ribosomal RNA is filed under the name Centrodora sp. D0823. RNAcentral's name for it is "partial 28S ribosomal RNA". It matches the Rfam family "Eukaryotic large subunit ribosomal RNA", at positions 967 to 1163 of the family's 3401-position model. Lineage: Eukaryota; Metazoa; Arthropoda; Insecta; Hymenoptera; Aphelinidae. The record is from RNAcentral.